Long non-coding RNA from Cavia porcellus (domestic guinea pig), 6987 nucleotides. RefSeq lists it as uncharacterized. The transcript has 4 exons. The record is from RefSeq and is a predicted model, not a curated record. NCBI's taxonomy places the organism in Eukaryota, Metazoa, Chordata, Mammalia, Rodentia, Caviidae.
AUUUAGAGCUGAAUGACUGUGUUCAGAGAAGGCACAAAAUGACACCCUCCUCCUUUUCAGGAAGCCACUUGGUUUUGUCUUUUUUUUUUUUUUUUUUUCAUCCGACAGAAAUAAUUGAUAAACCCAACGAGCAGCCGUCCACCUUAAAGGAGGCGCCCCCUCACCACCUGGUUAAAAUUCCUCCUCCUCUCCCCACCUCCCUCCAUCCAUUUUGCUCUGUGCUGUUUAAACAAUACUUCAUCAAAUGCAGCCUGGAGCAAAUAAGAAAGCUCAGUAGAGUAAAUAAAAAGUCAAAAAAAAAUCACCGGCUGGAGGACAAAGCUGAGCUUUACCGGAGUGAUCCUGUAUUUCGUCACAUUCAUAUAGAUCCUGCUGUCUGUUUCCUGAGUUCCCACAGGUACAGUUAUCCUCAUGGAGCAUUGAGAGAUUCCAGCCUCUGCCCUCUGAUACUUUUAGCCUCGGAACCAGAACAGCAGACCAGAAUAAGGGCAAUGGACUGCUAAUACCAAAGUAAAGUCUACUGUUUCCUCAACACAACCAGCCAGGAAGAGGUGGGCUGAGAUCCUUUGCUCCAACUUCUACCAGGCAAAAGAAAAUAAUGAACUUUGGCUAUAUUUACUGCAAGACCUACAAAAAUGAUGGUCCACUGGUAAUGAGCACACCACAUGCCCAGAUUGUAGUCUUUAAGUACUUUGUCCCAAACAAACCAAGCCUCUUUGGAAAGCUAGAUGAUUUCAAAGAUGGGUAGAAAAUAUAUGAGAUUAAUCUAGAAUAUCUUUCAGUGCCAGAAAACCAAGGACUGAUAAAAGGCUGCUAGAGUUGUGUCAAAGAACUUAGUAAAUGACAUGAAGAGCUACAAAAAAAAGUCAGCUAAAAGUCAAGCAAAGUGGUGCAAGCCUGUAGCCCCAGUGUUCCGGACAAUGAAGCAGGAAGAUCACUAUGAGUUUGUAGCCUGAGCUACAUAGUGAGUUGAAGACCAAUGUGAACCACACAGUGAAGCCAUGUCUCAGAAAACAAAAACAACAAAGCAAAAAACAAAAAACAAAAAACUACUGGGCCACAUUUGCAGAACAUAAAUAUAUCUACUCAUUAUUCUGAAAACAGAUCUCUAUGACUCAUAAUGAAACAGUGGAUCUAGACCAACAUCACCAAUGAAUGAUAAAAGCAUCCAUGUUGAUAGCAACAUCAUUCACAGUAGCCAAAAGGAAGAUGCUACCCAUACAUCCAUCAACAGAUCAACAAGAUGUAGCAUGUACUAUUAUUCAGGAGUAAGUCCUAUUUUAAACAGCAACAUGGAUAAAACUUGAAAACAUUAUGUUAUAUGAAAAAGUCAGAAAAGAAUAAAUUCUGUAUGAUCUCAUCCAUAUGAAGUAUAGUGGCCCCUCAAGUUACAACCAGCCUCACAUAGGAGCAACUUGGAUUAUGACUGGAAUUUUAGGUUUAACUUAUGACUACAGUCUUGAGUUACAACCUGAAUGCCAGCUGCUUGUGUUGUUAUAAACCCUCGCAAUGCCAGAAGAGUGAAUGUAAGCAUCAGUCUGAGCCCAGAUGCACCUUUGUGGAGGGGAUUUCAGUCAGGACUUUAUGUAAUCACUAUGAUUACUGCUAUCAAAAUGGCCCCUAAAAAGCUCUAAAGGAAGCUUAGGAGGGAAGGGAAAGUAAAGAAAGGAAUCAUAAUCAAAGAGAAGAAGAAAAUUAUGAAGAAAUAUGAGAAUGGCAUUCAUGUGGCCAAUGUUGCUAAUAUGUACAGCAUGUUGAAAUCCACCAUCUCAAAAAUCUUACAGAGAAAACAUCUGUAUAGGGAAGCUAGUGCUGCUAAAGAUGUUACUCAAAUUAGUAAGUUGUGAUCAAAAGUGUUAUAUGAGGUAGAAAAAUUAUUAGUAGUAUGGAUAAAUAAAAAGUAGAUGGUAGGUUGUAGCCUGUGGAAAAGCUAGGGAUAUAAAUGUCGAUCUUGUAAAGGAUAAUCCAUCAACGAGUGAUAAUGGUAAAAUAUUUUGUGCCAGGAAGGGGUGGUUUCACAAUUUUAUAGCGAGAACUGGGGUUUAUAGUGUAACUAGGCAUGGUGAAGUAGCCCAUGCUAAGAAGGGCUACUAAGUUACGUACACCACUUUGAAACAAUGCUGUGGAAAAAUGGCUUUUGCUCUCCUCAAGUCUUCAACUAUGAUGAAACUAGCCUUUUCUGGAAGAAAAUACCCAGAAAAACAUAUAUUACCCAAGGGAAAAAAAAAUGCCAGGACACAAGCUUAUGAAAGAUAGGUUAAACUUAUUGCUAUGUGCUAAUGUGAGUGGUGACCUCAAGAUAAAGCCUCACUUGAUUUAUCACUCUGAAACCCUACAGUGUUCAGAAAAUAUAAAAUUGUGAAGAAUAGGCUAGGGUUCCUGUGGAGAUCUAAUGUAAAAGCCUAGAUAACAAGAGCACAUUUUCUGGAGGAUCAGGGAGGCUCUCUGUCCUACUGUUAAGAAAUAUCUAGAGGACAAAGGUUUACCACUCAAGGUUCCUCUCACCAUGGAUAGUGCUCCUACUCACCCAUGAGAUUUGGAAAAACGUGGCUGAAAUAUUCCCGUGCCUCUCAGUCAAGUUCCUCCUACCUAAUGCAACUCCUUACUGCAGCAUAUGGACCAGCAGGUUACAGCUAACUUUAAGAAGCUAUAUACACACAAAAAAGGAGAAGGAGAAGGAAGAGGAGGAGGAGGAGAAGGAAGAGAAGGGGGAGGAGGAGAAAGAAGGAAAAGGAGAAGGAAACUAUACACCAAGAAAGUGUCCCUAAAAUGCUUCCAUAUGGUCUCAGAUACAGAUUUAACUCUGGAAGAGUUCUGGAAGGAGCAUUACAACAUUGUUUCCCAUGUAGAGUUAACUGAGAAAUUCAGGGCCAAUAUCUCUCUCAGGACACUAAAUCUGCCUGGAAGAAUGUGUGACCUAAGAUUAUACAAGAGAGACUUUGAAAGUUGUGUAAGGGCGCCUGAGCCUUCAGUUGACCCUGUGACUGAUGACACUGCCACUAGAGUUGAGCCUAUAGGCUUGCAGGUAAACAGUGGUGAUCUUGAGGAUCUGGUGUAGGAACACUCAGAGCAAGUGUCUACAGAGGAACUUCAGCAAUUCCCGGAGCACCAGCAACAGAGAGAAUGGCAGCUGAACAUCCUUCUGAAGAAUAGGGAGGUAUCAACAAUCAGCACAGCGAAGUUUUUCUUCUGAAAUAAAGGAAGUCCUAAAACAAAAUGGACAGAGCUACAGACAUUCAUAGAGAAAACCAUAUUAUAGAACAACGCUACAAAAAAGACAGAAACAGACAACCUUAGACUAGUUUUUAGUUCUGAAAAAGUUGAGACCCAGUGAGCCAGAAGAAGUUCCUACUUGGCUCAGCCCCUCCCAAGGAGAGAAGGGACACAGAGAGCCAGAUUCCUGAAGUUCUUAUAGAAGGGGACUCUCCUUCCAAACGGUAACUGCCCUCUUCCUGCAGGCCGAAAUGCCAACUCAGAAGGUGAGUAUAGUAUGAAACUGUUGUUUCUGGUAAACUAGGCACAUUUCUAAACUUUUUGGUGAAUACACUAGGAAAAUUCUUGAUGUUUCUGGUAAAUUACAUAUAUACAGCCUUUUUAAUUAUGAAAAAUUAGUUAAGGGUUGAUUUGGGAGUUUCAGAACACAGUAUGGGUAUUUCCAUUAUUUCUUACGGGAAAAAUAGUCUUGACUUACAACCAAUUUGAGCUACAACCAGCCCUCACAAAUGAAUUCAGUUUAUAAGUCAAGUGUCCACUGUACUUGGAGUAGUCAAAUCCUUAAAAGUUAUAAAGUAAAAUGUAAAAAAAAGAAAACAGGAAAGUCAAAUGUGGUCUACAGGACCUAGGAAUAUGGGAGAAUGGGGAGUUACAGUUCAGGGGUACUAAGUUUCAGUGGGUACAGUCUUUCUGUGUGCUACUGUAACAAAAGAGCCACAUGAGUAAUUUGUAAUGAACUGUAAUUUAGGCUAGCCUUGGUGGUGCACACCUGUAAUCCCAGCACUUGGGAGGCUGAGGCAGGAGGAAUGCCACAAAUUCAAGGGCAACCUGAACUAUACAACAACCUUCUCAAAAAAAAAAAAAAAAACAGUAAUUUAUUCUCUCAUAUUUCUAAAGGCUGAAGAAUAAAAAAAUCAAGACAAUGGAGGUUCAACAUCUGGUGAAGACCACUCUCUUCCUCCAAGACAGCACCCUUUAGUUCCAUCCUCAUGAGUGGAGGAAGGAGCACUGAGAUGAAUCCACUGGUAAUGAGCAUCCCACAGGGCAGAGAGUGGAAGAGCAAGUGAGCCUCACCGUGGGUGAAGCCACAUUGGUGCUACUUACAUUUUGGAGGAAACACAUGCAAACCACAGAGAUGAUGAAAAGACGUAAAAAUGAAUGGUGGUGGUGGUUGCACAUCAACGUGAGUCCACCAACUAUACACUUUACUAUGGUUUAAAAAGUCAACUUUAUGCUAAUGUAAAUAACAUGAUAAUGGUAGAUUUGAAACACUUAUUGAUGUAUUUAGCAUGCACACUUACACAUAUGUAUGCAUAUUCUACCACACUAAAGUAAAAUAUGAAGUGAGGAUUUUGACCCAAACCCUGAUCAAUCAAUAAAAACAGAAACAAGACAUCUCUAUACUUCAUGAAAUAUGGCAACCAGUACACGGCCACCUCUCCAACGUCCUCUUAUCCUACAAGUCUUAAAUGUAAAAUAGUCACCAGAUUAAAACACUGGCUUAUCGUACAGAAUAAAAGGAUAAUUUGUGCCACCAACUAGAAACAAAUAGAAAAAUUCAGGCUAUGGGACAUUUCACAGAAAGUAAGAAAGGAUGUUGAGAAGCCUGUGUCUGUGUGAAUAAACCUAUUCCUAAAAGAAAAUGGUUAAUAAUAAAAGAGGAAGCAAAGCAACAAGACUAUUGGAAUUUUCUACUCUGGAGCCACCAAAUUCUAUGCAAAGUAGGAAUGGUGAAAAUUAUAAAAACAACAAACAUGCAUGGUCUAGGCAGCACCAUUUGAGUUUAUAUUAUGACUGUAGACCACAUUGUUGUUUUACAAGUUCUCCCUGGCCACGGAGAUGGAGAAACCUCAAAUGCCCAGACCUGUGUUGGAGGACUGAGUAGAUGCUUCAAUUCAUUCUCAGAAAAAGGUGCUGGGAAGGCAUGGAACAAUGAGCAAAAAUACAUAAUAAUCCUGCACAAUCGACUAUGUAAGAGGUUGCAAGCAAAGCUUCUGUGUUAGGAGGGAGAAUAAUUUUAGGCAGUAAGGCCAGGAAAUACGUGGGAUAGGGGACUUUAUCUCAGGAAACCAAUCUGCUUUGCCUGAGAAUCGAGGGACUCCAAGGACAGGGGACUUUCUAUGUUAACACAGAGACAGCCUGAGGCAAUAUUCUGUGCAAAGUAGGAAUGGUGAAUUCAGAUGCAUGAGGACACUGGCUCUGUCACACAUUUUGGAGUACAGUGGUAUUUCAGUUUAUGAAUUUAAAAUUGUUUCACAAUUUUGGAAAAGAUGGCUUUGUUUGUGAGGGAAAGAUGGCUACAUCUUUUAAAGAUGUUUGUAGGGCUUGCAGAUAAAGACAAAAUUUUGCCAAAUACUUUUGCUUGUGAACCAAACUGUUUGAAAACAAAAGCAUUUGUGAAUGAAGGUACCGCUGUAUUUGAUGUGUGUACAAAUGAAACAAAAACUCACUUUUAUGAAACAUAAUUAACAAGCAUCUGCAGGAAAAUUCUGGGAUAAAUAAUAUUUUUAAAAUACAAUGAAUGCUCUGUAUGAAAGUAUCAAGUAUCAGAAUAUAGGCAACUACUUUGAAGGCAAUAAGAUUCACUAUGAUGCCCAUUCUGGUUUGACUAUUAUCCUCUUUUGAGGUUCUGUAAGAUUUACAAUGUUUAGGUUUUAUUGGUCUUGUUCUCUACUGUUUUGUUCAACUUUAUAAUACCUAAUGAGAUAGACAAUUCUUCUUAAGGAAGCAAGAAGCAUUAUGGUAACCAUUGUUGAUAACCUUGUACUCUGUUUUUACAUCAUGUGCUAUGUCUAUCUUUGGUUUUGACUGACAGCUUUGUUUUAUCAUGCUUGAUUUUAUUCUCUUACAAAAAAAGUAAUAAGAUCUAAGGGAGCAAUAAAACCCAAAAUGUGUAAGUUUUGUUGUAAUAAACAGAGGGAAAAAAAGUGCCCUAAAGGAUACAACAGCAAGGGUGUUUAGGUGUGUUAAAAGAAGACCAUAUUAACAUUUUUUAUUGGAUUACUGAACACAACUAUUUGCAGUCUCACUGUUUGAAUGUUCACUUUGUAUGCUUUGAUCCUGUGACCUGAAACACCGUUUCUAAAAUGAUAGCGUGUAAUCUAUUAACUGGUGAUAGCUUACUGUUUUUUUGUAGUUCUGAAUUACUUGUACUCUUACACUGUUUUGUUUUGUUCUGCUUUUUUUCUCUUUUUCAUUUUAAAUUAAAAAAAAAUACAAUGAAAAGAUCAGACUUACAAUUAAAACCUUCUUCCAAAAUGGGGGUAUAUUUUUAACUAAGGAAUAUGCCCAGAAUUGAGGUCAGGCCUAAUGUGCCCACUUUCACUUUGCUUCAUACAUUUUACUUUGCUGAUCAUUCCCGCUAUUAGGAGAAAAAUCUUACAGGAGGACUGCCAAUUUAAAUCCUGUCACCAUGGGUCCAUCUCGUGAAUUAAGACCAAGCCAUGGCAAAAGUGCUGAGUGAGAGAGAACAAUUACCAAGUUCAUGGCUUCAGGUUCUGUUUACCCUGAUACUGUCCAGGAUAAUCAUUUAUUUCUAGCUGCCUUCUAAGUUUUAUUAAGCUGUUCAGAAAAGUUUCAGCCAUGCUUUAUGACUGUGUGAACUGCCUGUGUAUCCAUUUCACAACUUGAUUCAUUCUGAUUAAAUUGUUCAACUGUUAAUGAGUUUUAGAUUGCAAUAUGGAGAGGCAAACAAUUCAGAACAUUAAGGCAGUAAAAUAUCUUAAUAUUUCACAAGUUCUCACUGAAAACAUAAAACAAAAGGCUCAUUUCUGC